Molecule: ribosomal RNA, 121 nt
Filed under: uncultured bacterium
Lineage: Bacteria
Description: partial 16S ribosomal RNA
Rfam family: Bacterial small subunit ribosomal RNA
Source: RNAcentral
UACGUUCCCGGGCCUUGUACACACCGCCCGUCACGUCACGAAAGUUGGUAACACCCGAAGCCCAUGGCCUAACCCACGUGUUGGGGGGGAGUGGUCGAAGGUGGGACCGGCGAUUGGGACG